This is a long non-coding RNA of Mirounga angustirostris (Northern elephant seal), 654 nucleotides long. RefSeq lists it as uncharacterized. The transcript is spliced from 3 exons. The record is from RefSeq and is a predicted model, not a curated record. Lineage: Eukaryota; Metazoa; Chordata; Mammalia; Carnivora; Phocidae.
GCUAUGUGGCCUCUUGGGGAGAUGUUCAAGGUCACAAGAACACCAUGGCAGAACCAUUCCCCUAUACCCACAACUAGAAUGAAAGUUCCGUGAGACUGAAGUCUGUAUCUGGCUUGUUCACUGCUGUAUCUCCAAUACCUGGAAGAGUGCCUCACACACCGCAGAUGCUCAGUAAAUACUUUAUGAGUGCCGCAAAUAUCAAACCAGAGUCUGAGCAAACUGCAGUCUCUCCGUGGAAACUCUGUGUCCCUUUAAAGCUAACAGGCUUAAUGGCUGGAUGCUGUCCCUGCAAAGACACCUGAGAAGGGGAUCAGAGAAGCAAGUCGCCUAAGUAUUAAUAAAGCAGAACUUCCAGGAUGAAAGUUUUGCCCGGGGCAGUGACAGCCUCAUCAAAGGGAAGAAAUGAGCCUGGUGACCAGGAACUCCACUCCCAGAGAAGAAGUGGAUCUGUUUCUCCUCUGGUUUUUGAAGAGCCAGCUCGGGGUCCAAGCACACCCCCAUCCCACCCCCAGCAUCAUGUGAUGGUCCCUCCUGCAUCUGUCCUCCCAAGCCUUCUUGAAUGAACAAAGCCUGACCAGUUUUGGGGGGAAUGAUUUUGCUCCUGCCUGUGUUGGCCAGAGGUGUUGGGACAGUGUGAUUUCUAAGUGAUUUCCU